RNAcentral lists this long non-coding RNA (2389 nucleotides) under Panax ginseng (ginseng). RNAcentral's name for it is "long non-coding RNA (PGIN_LNC017341)". The record is from RNAcentral. Lineage: Eukaryota; Viridiplantae; Streptophyta; Magnoliopsida; Apiales; Araliaceae.
UCGAAUAAGCUUUUCAGCAACAUUUAGAGUUUUUUCAAUCUGCAAGAGAGAGAUAUACAAGUUACAAGGAGGAAUUAUUCAUAACCAACUGUUGGUCUACAGAUUUAUCAUAAUCUGAUUUGUGUGUCAUUCUUUUAUGGCUUGCUGAGGACUUGUUGGUUAAUCUGGCAUACAUGACCAUCUUUUAAUUAUAUUUUAAUUUAUUAAUUGUACGUAUAUAUUUAUUAUUAAAAAAUUAAAUAAUUCCGCCGCAAUGUGCGAAUUUGUAUCUAGUUAAAAUAUAAAGACAGGAUUAAUUAAUGUUGGGUUGUUUGCUAGAGGGAGGACUAGAAAUGGGUUGAAAGUUGAAAUCGAAAUCUCUAUUAAUUUUUGUGACACAUAAGUAGGUGUUGUCCAAAGAAUAGGUGACAACUAAAGCAAAUGUUUAUUUUUUGUUAUUAGUAUUAGUAUUUACAAGCUUAAUAAUCCGUAUAAAGUAAGAAUAACUUAGAAAUAAUAUAUUGAAUAAGUUUUAAAAAUAUACUAACAUAUUUGAGUAAUAAUAUUUAUAAUAUCGAUAAUUUAUUUAAUUUUAAAUAAUCUCAUUACAAUAUGUCACUUUAAUUAGAAUAAGAAUAAAAAAAGGGAUACAAUUUAUGAAUUUGAGAAAUCAUUGUAAAUGAAUACUCCAUAUGAUAAGCAAAAAGCAGAAUAAUCAAAAAAAAAAUUGCAUUACCCAGUCACCAAAAAAAUUAAUCUUUUGUUAGACUAUUGAGUUGAACUGGGACAAGGGCUUACCUCUGUAAUAUGAACUGCGGUGGAAAGCCAAGAAAGAAUAGGAAAGAAGUGCAAGACCCCUUGCGUGAUGCAGCCAAAACUUUCCAAGCUAGAGCUAAAUCUUUGGUUAAGUCGUGGUCUUCCCCGUAUCUACAGAUCAUAUCAGUUCUUCUUCAAAAAAAAUUUAUUUAUAAAAAAGAAAUUGAAGCAAAAUAGCAUAACUUUUAAACGAUAUCAACAUAUUAUUUUAGCCCGAUGAAAACAAAACAUUUUUCCUUAAGAUCUUUUUUUAAAUAAAAAUAGAGAACGAAGUAACUAAAAAGGUUAUUAGUUUUUAGGCAAGUACAUAACUCAACAAGAAAUUUUCUUACCCGUCCAAUUUUUAAUAAAUCAAGAUAACCAUUUGUUCCGGUAUAAAUAUUCAUUAUCUGUUCUUCUAUGGUGAGAGGGACUGAUUGGGAUUGUUUGAGCUAUUCAAGUAAUCGUUGACCUCUUGCCAAUUGAUUAAAUGUAAUUCAUUAUAUUGUAGCUCUUUUACUCCCUCAGCGGGUUCGGACGCCACCUAAAAAGAAGACACAUGUGACUAUGUGUGAUCGAUAUACUUCUGGAGUCUUCUUGAAAAACGGAGGACACGUGCUCGUUCGUAAACCAACCAGUAGCUCUUUCCGCAAGGAAAGUAGCUCCAAAAAACUCCUGGGAGGUGAACCAAAGCUGGACUUUGGCCCUCGUAGUGAAAGAGCUGUUUGGGAAAAUGUGCAAUGGGCGGGGGGAGCUUCUUUAAAUUGAUAUAUAGUUUCUCUCGUUGUAAGACUUCCGAUACACAUUUCCAAAUCAACUGAGAGAAGUCGCAUCUGUCCUAUCGCAAACACCUACAAUGUCAUGAUCACAUUGAUUUACCUCAGUCGAAGGAGCGGAGCUUACUUUCUAUUCUAUUAGUCAAGCGCACUCACUCUAACGACGUUCCUUUUGCAUAGGUUGCUUGUUAUGGCAUGUUAAACUUUUAAGACCAGCGUCGCAUCAGGCUUGCUUGUCCUUUCAAGCGAAUGCUUUAUUCUUCUGAAGGUGGGAGAAAAGAUAAAAUCAAAAAAGGUUUCUUAAUCCAAAUUUAAGAUUUCAGUUUAAGAAUGACUUUUGUUUACAGAGAGAUUCUCUUUUAUAGGAAGCAAAAUAAGCACAGUUAGCAAGAUCCCCUUCUAUUUCAGUUGUUGCUGUUGAAGGAAGAACUGAUGUGAUUGCUCGAGUUGAAGAAGUGGAUGCUGGUAUCGUAGAUAAAAAAAGAUUACUAAAAGGGCACACAAUGAUCGGACAUAAAAGAUAGGAAUCGUAUGUCAUCGUAGACCAUGACGAAUUCAUCAAAUCUAAAUAAGUCCUAAGAACUUUGUUCAUUAGCCGCAUAAAAGUUACAGAUGUGUUGGCCUUACCGUAAUAAGGUCGAAUGGCAUGACGAUCCAUUAAUAUAACCCUUGCCAUGUCUUUAACGCGAUCUUACAGCGCCUUCCACCACUUGCACUUGGUGAUAUCCCGACUUCCAAAUUUAUCUUGGUGAAGUAAAAGGUUCCCGAAUCAAUCCAUAGUUCUGUCAUCCACCCGUCAUGACGGUUAUUGCUAAGACUUGAUUUUCACUUGCCAAUUG